CAAUAAGCGGAGGAAAAGAAACCAACAGGGAUUGCCCUAGUAACGGCGAGUGAAGCGGCAACAGCUCAAAUUUGAAAUCUGGCUACUUUGUAGUCCGAGUUGUAAUUUGUAGAGGAUGCUUUUGGUGAGGUGCCUUCCGAGUUCCCUGGAACGGGACGCCAUAGAGGGUGAGAGCCCCGUACGGUUGGAUGCCAAACCUUUGUAUAGCUCCUUCAACGAGUCGAGUAGUUUGGGAAUGCUGCUCUAAAUGGGAGGUAUAUCUCUUCUAAAGCUAAAUAUAGGCUAGAGACCGAUAGCGCACAAGUAGAGUGAUCGAAAGAUGAAAAGCACUUUGAAAAGAGAGUUAAACAGCACGUGAAAUUGUUGAAAGGGAAGCGCCUAUGACCAGACUUGUCUCUAUCAGUUUUGCUAGUUUUCGGACUGGUUUACUCUGUUAGUACAGGCCAGCAUCAGUUUGUUGUUGGGGAGAAAGGCUUAGGGAAUGUGGCUCUUUCGGGAGUGUUAUAGCCCUUUGCAUAAUACCUUUCGACAGACUGAGGACCGCGCUUCGGCAAGGAUGCUGGCGUAAUGG
This 571-nucleotide ribosomal RNA is filed under the name Thielaviopsis paradoxa. RNAcentral describes it as "LSU rRNA". It matches the Rfam family "Eukaryotic large subunit ribosomal RNA", at positions 44 to 637 of the family's 3401-position model. The record is from RNAcentral. Lineage: Eukaryota; Fungi; Ascomycota; Sordariomycetes; Microascales; Ceratocystidaceae.